CCACUUCCUUCCAUCUUUUGCAUUUCUUCAUGCCCCAUGGCUAUUAUUGAACAACAUCAGCAUCAAAUCCUCCCUCGGCCAUCUCUCUCCUAGCUUCCAUUGCCAUCACGAAAGCUAUCAAGAUGAUCAUCACUUACUCAUCCUUCUCUAUCAGCCUCCCAUGCCACCACAAUUGAUCCAUUAUACAUCUCUUUAUGCCUCACCCAUCUCUCUUUCAAUCUCUCUAGGCAUCAAUAUUUUUCUCAACCACCAUGGAUAGAGGUGAC
This 266-nucleotide long non-coding RNA is filed under the name Elaeis guineensis (African oil palm). RNAcentral describes it as "long non-coding RNA (EGUI_LNC034232)". The record is from RNAcentral. Lineage: Eukaryota; Viridiplantae; Streptophyta; Magnoliopsida; Arecales; Arecaceae.